This 2458-nucleotide ribosomal RNA is filed under the name Staphylococcus aureus. RNAcentral describes it as "partial 23S ribosomal RNA". It matches the Rfam family "Bacterial large subunit ribosomal RNA", at positions 460 to 2925 of the family's 2925-position model. Lineage: Bacteria; Bacillati; Bacillota; Bacilli; Caryophanales; Staphylococcaceae. The record is from RNAcentral.
CUAAGGCUAAAUACUCUCUAGUGACCGAUAGUGAACCAGUACCGUGAGGGAAAGGUGAAAAGCACCCCGGAAGGGGAGUGAAAUAGAACCUGAAACCGUGUGCUUACAAGUAGUCAGAGCCCGUUAAUGGGUGAUGGCGUGCCUUUUGUAGAAUGAACCGGCGAGUUACGAUUUGAUGCAAGGUUAAGCAGUAAAUGUGGAGCCGUAGCGAAAGCGAGUCUGAAUAGGGCGUUUAGUAUUUGGUCGUAGACCCGAAACCAGGUGAUCUACCCUUGGUCAGGUUGAAGUUCAGGUAACACUGAAUGGAGGACCGAACCGACUUACGUUGAAAAGUGAGCGGAUGAACUGAGGGUAGCGGAGAAAUUCCAAUCGAACCUGGAGAUAGCUGGUUCUCUCCGAAAUAGCUUUAGGGCUAGCCUCAAGUGAUGAUUAUUGGAGGUAGAGCACUGUUUGGACGAGGGGCCCCUCUCGGGUUACCGAAUUCAGACAAACUCCGAAUGCCAAUUAAUUUAACUUGGGAGUCAGAACAUGGGUGAUAAGGUCCGUGUUCGAAAGGGAAACAGCCCAGACCACCAGCUAAGGUCCCAAAAUAUAUGUUAAGUGGAAAAGGAUGUGGCGUUGCCCAGACAACUAGGAUGUUGGCUUAGAAGCAGCCAUCAUUUAAAGAGUGCGUAAUAGCUCACUAGUCGAGUGACACUGCGCCGAAAAUGUACCGGGGCUAAACAUAUUACCGAAGCUGUGGAUUGUCCUUUGGACAAUGGUAGGAGAGCGUUCUAAGGGCGUUGAAGCAUGAUCGUAAGGACAUGUGGAGCGCUUAGAAGUGAGAAUGCCGGUGUGAGUAGCGAAAGACGGGUGAGAAUCCCGUCCACCGAUUGACUAAGGUUUCCAGAGGAAGGCUCGUCCGCUCUGGGUUAGUCGGGUCCUAAGCUGAGGCCGACAGGCGUAGGCGAUGGAUAACAGGUUGAUAUUCCUGUACCACCUAUAAUCGUUUUAAUCGAUGGGGGGACGCAGUAGGAUAGGCGAAGCGUGCGAUUGGAUUGCACGUCUAAGCAGUAAGGCUGAGUAUUAGGCAAAUCCGGUACUCGUUAAGGCUGAGCUGUGAUGGGGAGAAGACAUUGAGUCUUCGAGUCGUUGAUUUCACACUGCCGAGAAAAGCCUCUAGAUAGAAAAUAGGUGCCCGUACCGCAAACCGACACAGGUAGUCAAGAUGAGAAUUCUAAGGUGAGCGAGCGAACUCUCGUUAAGGAACUCGGCAAAAUGACCCCGUAACUUCGGGAGAAGGGGUGCUCUUUAGGGUUAACGCCCAGAAGAGCCGCAGUGAAUAGGCCCAAGCGACUGUUUAUCAAAAACACAGGUCUCUGCUAAACCGUAAGGUGAUGUAUAGGGGCUGACGCCUGCCCGGUGCUGGAAGGUUAAGAGGAGUGGUUAGCUUCUGCGAAGCUACGAAUCGAAGCCCCAGUAAACGGCGGCCGUAACUAUAACGGUCCUAAGGUAGCGAAAUUCCUUGUCGGGUAAGUUCCGACCCGCACGAAAGGCGUAACGAUUUGGGCACUGUCUCAACGAGAGACUCGGUGAAAUCAUAGUACCUGUGAAGAUGCAGGUUACCCGCGACAGGACGGAAAGACCCCGUGGAGCUUUACUGUAGCCUGAUAUUGAAAUUCGGCACAGCUUGUACAGGAUAGGUAGGAGCCUUUGAAACGUGAGCGCUAGCUUACGUGGAGGCGCUGGUGGGAUACUACCCUAGCUGUGUUGGCUUUCUAACCCGCACCACUUAUCGUGGUGGGAGACAGUGUCAGGCGGGCAGUUUGACUGGGGCGGUCGCCUCCUAAAAGGUAACGGAGGCGCUCAAAGGUUCCCUCAGAAUGGUUGGAAAUCAUUCAUAGAGUGUAAAGGCAUAAGGGAGCUUGACUGCGAGACCUACAAGUCGAGCAGGGUCGAAAGACGGACUUAGUGAUCCGGUGGUUCCGCAUGGAAGGGCCAUCGCUCAACGGAUAAAAGCUACCCCGGGGAUAACAGGCUUAUCUCCCCCAAGAGUUCACAUCGACGGGGAGGUUUGGCACCUCGAUGUCGGCUCAUCGCAUCCUGGGGCUGUAGUCGGUCCCAAGGGUUGGGCUGUUCGCCCAUUAAAGCGGUACGCGAGCUGGGUUCAGAACGUCGUGAGACAGUUCGGUCCCUAUCCGUCGUGGGCGUAGGAAAUUUGAGAGGAGCUGUCCUUAGUACGAGAGGACCGGGAUGGACAUACCUCUGGUGUACCAGUUGUCGUGCCAACGGCAUAGCUGGGUAGCUAUGUGUGGACGGGAUAAGUGCUGAAAGCAUCUAAGCAUGAAGCCCCCCUCAAGAUGAGAUUUCCCAACUUCGGUUAUAAGAUCCCUCAAAGAUGAUGAGGUUAAUAGGUUCGAGGUGGAAGCAUGGUGACAUGUGGAGCUGACGAAUACUAAUCGAUCGAAGACUUAAUCAA